AUGCCGCAGCACUUCUGGUCUGUGGAGGGGGCUGAGGAGGCGCUCGGCUGUCGCGUCGACCGCCUCGACAGCCGCACGUUUGAGUGCAGCCACACCAAGAGUUUCGCCUGCUGGGUUUGGGUAUGGGACGUCGGCCUCAUCCCGACCAAGCACACCUUCUGGCUGAUGCAGCGCGGGGUGGGCAGAGUGGAGGAGAUGCUGGGUUUUUCGCCGCCCGGCCGCGUCGUCGCUGCGCCGCCGUCUGCAAUCCGCCACGACGUCCUCAUCCAUGUCGAUCGCAUCGAGGACUGGACCCCGUACAAGCCGCGGUCGCCACGCUCUGCUCAGAGCGGCCUGUCGUCCUCGGAUUCGGAUGACGAUGACAGGCCGAUGCCGCGCACCAUCUCGGGGCCUCGUGGAAGAAGGGCGUGGAGGAUGGCCAAUGUGAGCCGCAGCAUCGCCGUCAGCUCGCCACGCUGGUGGAUGUGGGGUGCCGCGGCGGUGCUCAUGGAGGUGGCCGCAAGGACGACGAGGACGACGACCAGGGCGGGCGCAGGUCUUGGAAAGACACCCUCCUGGGUCGCAGUCGUGCGGGUAAGGAGAAGGUGGUGGAUACGGAGGCCUCCUCGCGCCACCGCAGCCGCUCCCCCCAGGCAUGCGCCGCUCAAAGAGCUCCAGGGGCCGCCGCAACGUUGGUCACCACCAUGCUGGGGGUGCAGGGCCAGCCUUGCUCCAAGCCCCGCGGCCCCUGCCCUCCCAGGCACCUGUCGACGCGCCACCAGCCGCCGACCCGAUUGCGGACUUCUUCGCCGGCGCCAAGACAACGCUGUCGCCGCCACCACCCUUCGACUGCAUGGCCGCUGA
This 843-nucleotide ribosomal RNA is filed under the name Triticum aestivum (bread wheat). RNAcentral describes it as "partial small subunit ribosomal RNA". The record is from RNAcentral. Lineage: Eukaryota; Viridiplantae; Streptophyta; Magnoliopsida; Poales; Poaceae.